Molecule: ribosomal RNA, 741 nt
Filed under: uncultured bacterium
Lineage: Bacteria
Description: bacterial SSU rRNA
Rfam family: Bacterial small subunit ribosomal RNA
Source: RNAcentral
AGAGUUUGAUCCUGGCUCAGCCUGAACGCUGGCGGCGUGGCUAAGACAUGCAAGUCGUACGGGUGUAGCAAUACACCAGUGGCGGACGGGUGAGUAAUGUAUCGCUAAUGUACCCCUGACACUGGGAUAGCCGUGGGAAACUACGGGUAAUACCAGAUGACAUAACCGGACCGCAUGGUUUGGUUCUCAAAGGAGCAAUACGGUUAGGGAGCAGGCGAUAUCGUAUCAGCUAGUUGGUGAGGUAACGGCUCACCAAGGCGACGACGCGUAGCUGGUCUGAGAGGACGGCCAGCCACAUUGGGACUGAGACACUGCCCAGACUCCUACGGGGGGCUGCAGUAACGAAUCUUCCGCAAUGCACGCAAGUGUGACGGAGCGACGCCGCGUGGAGGUUAAGUCCUUCGGGAUGUAAACUCCUGUCAGGGGUUACCAAGAACUGAGGAGCCCCAGAGGAAGGCACGGCUAACUCUGUGCCAGCAGCCGCGGUAAUACAGAGGUGCCAAGCGUUAGGCGGAAUCACUGGGCUUAAAGCGCGUGUAGGUGGACGGGUAAGUAUCUUGUGAAAUCCCACGGCUCAACCGUGGAACUGCUGGAUAUACUGCUUGUCUUGAGGCACUUAGGGGCAGCCUGGAACAAAUGGUCGGAGCGGCUGAAAUGCGUAAUAUCAUUUGGGAACGCCAAAGGCGAAAGCAGGCUGCCUGGGAGCGAUCUGACACUGAGACGCGAAAGCCCAGGGGAGCA